Molecule: ribosomal RNA, 253 nt
Filed under: uncultured bacterium
Lineage: Bacteria
Description: partial 16S ribosomal RNA
Rfam family: Bacterial small subunit ribosomal RNA
Source: RNAcentral
UACGUAGGGGGCAAGCGUUGUCCGGAAUCAUUGGGCGUAAAGCGUCCGCAGGUGGCAGUUCAAGUCUGCUGUCAAAGACCGGGGCUUAACUUCGGAAAGGCAGUGGAAACUGAACAGCUAGAGUAUGGUAGGGGCAGAGGGAAUUCCUGGUGUAGCGGUGAAAUGCGUAGAUAUCUGGAGGAACACCGGUGGCGAAGGCGGCGUUCUGGACUGUUUCUGACACUGAAAAACGAAAGCCAGGGGAGCAAACGGG